Molecule: non-coding RNA, 177 nt
Organism: Ceratotherium simum simum (southern white rhinoceros)
Lineage: Eukaryota; Metazoa; Chordata; Mammalia; Perissodactyla; Rhinocerotidae
Source: RefSeq, a predicted model, not a curated record
AAACAGAUGACAAGCAAUAAAAUGACAGUGUUAAGCCCUCAUGUAUUAGUAAUCAGUCUAAAUGUAAAUGGACUGAAUUCACCAAUCAGGAAACACAGAGUGGCUGGAUAGAUUAAAAAACAUGACCCAACAAUAUGCUGCCUCCAGGAAACACAUCUCAACUCUCAAGAUAAACCU